RNAcentral lists this ribosomal RNA (253 nucleotides) under uncultured bacterium. RNAcentral's name for it is "partial 16S ribosomal RNA". It matches the Rfam family "Bacterial small subunit ribosomal RNA", at positions 524 to 776 of the family's 1533-position model. The record is from RNAcentral.
UACGUAGGGGGCAAGCGUUGUCCGGAAUCAUUGGGCGUAAAGAGCGUGUAGGCGGCCCGGUAAGUCCGCCGUGAAAGUCCAGGGCUCAACCCUGGGAUGCCGGUGGAUACUGUCGGGCUCGAGUCCGGAAGAGGAGUGUGGAAUUCCUGGUGUAGCGGUGAAAUGCGCAGAUAUCAGGAGGAACACCAAUGGCGAAGGCAGCACUCUGGGACGUGACUGACGCUGAGACGCGAAAGCGUGGGGAGCAAACAGG